AGAGUUUGAUCAUGGCUCAGGAUGAACGCUAGCUACAGGCUUAACACAUGCAAGUCGAGGGGCAGCAUGUUGGUUGCUUGCAACCAAUGAUGGCGACCGGCGCACGGGUGAGUAACGCGUAUCCAACCUACCCUUGUCCAUCGGAUAACCCGUCGAAAGGCGGCCUAACACGAUAUGCGGUUCACAGCAGGCAUCUAAGGUGAACGAAAUGUGAAGGAGAAGGAUGGGGAUGCGUCUGAUUAGCUUGGUUGGCGGGGGUAACGGCCCACCAAGGGCUACGAUCAGUAGGGGUUCUGAGAGGAAGGUCCCCCACNUUGGACUGAGACACGGUCCAAACUCCGUACGGGAGGCA
Molecule: ribosomal RNA, 352 nt
Filed under: uncultured bacterium
Lineage: Bacteria
Description: bacterial SSU rRNA
Rfam family: Bacterial small subunit ribosomal RNA
Source: RNAcentral